GAUGAACGCUGGCGGCGUGCCUAACACAUGCAAGUCGAGCGAGGGUUUGCUCAGUAUUGAGUAUUCUAAGACUAGAAUGUUCAAUUCUGAGCAAAACCAAGCGGCGGACGGGUGAGUAACGCGUGGGUAACCUGCCCUAUACACAUGGAUAACAUACUGAAAAGUUUACUAAUACAUGAUAAUAUAUAUUUGUGGCAUCGCAGAUAUAUCAAAGUGUUAGCGGUAUAGGAUGGACCCGCGUCUGAUUAGCUAGUUGGUGAGAUAACUGCCCACCAAGGCGACGAUCAGUAGCCGACCUGAGAGGGUGAUCGGCCACAUUGGAACUGAGACACGGUCCAAACUCCUACGGGAGGCAGCAGUGGGGAAUAUUGCACAAUGGGCGAAAGCCUGAUGCAGCAACGCCGCGUGAACGAUGAAGGUCUUCGGAUCGUAAAGUUCUGUUGCAGGGGAAGAUAAUGACGGUACCCUGUGAGGAAGCCCCGGCUAACUACGUGCCAGCAGCCGCGGUAAUACGUAGGGGGCUAGCGUUAUCCGGAUUUACUGGGCGUAAAGGGUGCGUAGGUGGUCCUUCAAGUCGGUGGUUAAAGGCUACGGCUCAACCGUAGUAAGCCGCCGAAACUGGAGGACUUGAGUGCAGGAGAGGAAAGUGGAAUUCCCAGUGUAGCGGUGAAAUGCGUAGAUAUUGGGAGGAACACCAGUAGCGAAGGCGGCUUUCUGGACUGCAACUGACACUGAGGCACGAAAGCGUGGGUAGCAAACAGG
This 762-nucleotide ribosomal RNA is filed under the name uncultured Peptostreptococcus sp. Its description in RNAcentral is "bacterial SSU rRNA". It matches the Rfam family "Bacterial small subunit ribosomal RNA", at positions 28 to 776 of the family's 1533-position model. The record is from RNAcentral. Lineage: Bacteria; Bacillati; Bacillota; Clostridia; Peptostreptococcales; Peptostreptococcaceae.